UAGAACACAGCAGGAAAGUGCUUGGAGUCCAAAGACACAAGACUGAGUCUGGGCCUUCUCAAGAUCAUCAGUGUGGCUCUGGGCAAGUUGCUUAACUGCUUUUAUCUCCUGUGUCCAUUAAUUCUGAUGUCACACAAAAUCUGAAGCCAAGAGGGGACAAUGCUCGGGAAAGUGUCUUGCAAACUCUGAAGUGCUGUAUGCUGGUGAGUCCAGACCCUUCGGGGACAGCUAGUACCAUGCUCUCCUAAAACUUCUUUUUGAUACUCAGUAACUGAAUUCAACUCAAUCAUAUUUAUUGAAUUUCUACUAGGGAAGGGACAUGGCGUUAGGUGCUGGUCACAUGAACAUGCAGACAUUCUACAAAGAUGAAGACAUUGAUCACAUCUCUUGGAAGGGGAAGUGGACAUUCAAAUAAGCAGCCAUUCCCAAGACGAUAAGAAAUCCAGUCACAGAUGUGAACAAAGGAAGAAGUGCCAUGUCGGGGGUGGGGUGGGGAUUAGGAAUGAGGAAGCAACGUGGAGCCUGCCCAGUCAGUUCUAGGUGGGAAAUGAGUGGGAGGGUCGUUCUAAAUCGAGGGUUAAGCACAGGCUUUGGAAUGGCUGAGACACAGAUAAAGCAGAUCAUACAAAGGGGGAAAAAAAAAGCCAUUGUUUUAGAAGAAAGGAAAACGAAAAUUUCUGGCAGGUUAAAAGACUUUACGAAGAUCAGGAUGACGAAAUUAACUUCUAGAGAUUUCUCUUCCUCUGAGCCAUAGGUACAUGGAAUUCAAAGCUACACAGAUUGAAACCCCUUAUUGGCCCUGGACUCAGCAAGGUUACUAGGAAAAAUGAAGAAUCAGCCUUGUGGGCAAGAGGAGGAGGAUCACAUUGGCCAGUAGGCAGCACCCUGUGCUGGCAGAGGGAGAAAUCUGAGCCUCAGCAGAGCCAGGCACAGUCUUUGUACAAACUCUCUGGUUUCAAGUUGCGAGAGUCUCCGGAGUCUCUGGGAAGGUGCCCCAGGGACAGGCUCCCUUUGCAGAGCCCUGAGGAUUGAUGAGAAUCCCCCAGCCCCAGCCCCCCAGAGGGCAAGCAGGUGAAGAAAUGAUGACUUGGCAAGGUUAUGACUGGCCAAGACCUCCAGAUACCCAUUAUCACUCCUGAGGCUAUUGCUUCUUCAAGCCAGUUGGUACUCAGAAUGGCACUGUGCUUACCAUGUUUCAAACUCAUUCCUUCAAGCACCCAUGCGUCCUGUUCAGUACUAACUGUAUGUUGAGCGGUACCAGCACAAAGAACUUUCUUGUGUUGUUUUGAUGUAAGAAAGGAAAAGCUUCGUCUUUCUUAACAGUACCAGUGGAAGCCAGAAGACACUAUCAGAUCUACUGGAGCUGGAGCUACAGGUGGUUGUGAACUGCCCAGUGUGGAUGCUGGUGGAACUGAACUCCAGUUCUCUGCAAGAGCAAUGGGUGAACCAAGGCCUGGAAAGGAGACAGGACCGUGCAGAGAGCCGAUGUCUACCAACGCCUACUGACAUGCUCACCCAUGCCUGAUCGGCUCAACCUCAUUCAGGACAAUGUUCUCAGACCUCCUCGGAGGAGACACUUGAACCUUCUGCAAGACCUUCUUCAGCCCCCCUGGGGCCCUGCUGUCUACUGAACAGGUGGAAGUGGGUGGAAAGGUCACGGGUGCAGGGUUGUAGGAACAGGUUGUAGGAACAGUUUUCUGAGACUGUCCUAGUGAGGGAUCUGGAGCCCAGAGCCAAUCUCUGCAGAAUGAAAACUCACCCUGUCCACACGCUUUGCUGAGCUGAGCAUCCGACCGACCGACCGACCGACCCUUCUCUGACUCUGCUCCCUUGGCCGCUGCUUCACGCCUCCUCCCAGUGGCCGCUCACAUCAGCAGCUGACUACAUGGGUGAGUGAAUGAACUCCAGGCAGGUGCAUGCCGCAGAGGCACUCUUCCUUCGAAGGGCACCUUUGUUGCCUAGGCAUAAGAAGAAUAGCCAGGGCCAGCCAACCAGAAUCACAGCCAAGCGGUGUGUGCCUUGCUGAGGGAAAAAAGCUUCUUAAAGCUGGCUGACAGGAUGGAGUGCUCCAGAGUAAGGUUCUGGAACCUGGGUGAUGACAACUCUUUUAAGUGUUUGGGAGUGCUGGGGCCCUGUGGCAACCUGUUCUCGCCUCUCUGACUUACUACAGUCUUUCCUAUGUGAGUUGAGAGAAAUUCAGUUCACAUGUUCCUGGACGAUUUGCAUGAUUUUCAGCAAGAUGCCACGGUUGUGGUUGCACCAUUGGAUGUUGACAGUGUUGCUUUCUUUGUUGCAUUUGGAGCCCAGUCCCUGACGGAAAGCCAGCUGGUCCAUUACUGGACGACGAGCGAGAGCAAAGGGCACAGUGUCUGCGGGCGACGUCCGCCAGAGCACUGCAGUGUCUGUCCAGCGAGGAGUGAGAGAUGUCACAAGCUACAGGAGCUCUGCCAGGCCUGCUGGCAGGACCUGGGAGAGGUGGGAAAAGCAAGGCGCUGCAGCAGGGCUGCGAGGCUUCUGGGGCAGAGGAAAACGGGGGUUGCCAGGCAAGGCCAGCACCAGGCUUGCCUCCUGUUCAGCAGCCUGGGAAAGGUAACUUUCACCUCGCGGUCUCUCACUGUCGUCUUCUGGAGCCCAGGAUUUUUGUAGACCCAAAGAGACUAUUAAUUUAUUGUAGGAAUCUUUAGUGUCUUAUUAUGAAUAAUAUUUGGCACUGCCUAAAUAAAUGUUUUUCCAAGAAAUAUUUUUGCCC
Long non-coding RNA from Peromyscus californicus insignis, 2749 nucleotides. RefSeq lists it as uncharacterized. The transcript has 7 exons. Lineage: Eukaryota; Metazoa; Chordata; Mammalia; Rodentia; Cricetidae. The record is from RefSeq and is a predicted model, not a curated record.